AGCAUAUCAAUAAGCGGAGGAAAAGAAACCAACCGGGAUUGCCUCAGUAACGGCGAGUGAAGCGGCAACAGCUCAGAUUUGAAAGCCGAGUCCUCCGACUUUGCAUUGUAAUCUGAAGAGGAAAUCUCGCGAACGAUUAGUCUCAAGUCUCCUGGAACGGAGCGUCAUGGAGGGUGAGAAUCCCGUGGAGAUGAAAUCCGACGCAUGUGAGAUUCCUUCGACGAGUCGAGUUGUUUGGGAAUGCAGCUCUAAUUGGGAGGUAAAUUCCUUCUAAAGCUAAAUAUCGGCUGGAGACCGAUAGCGCACAAGUAGAGUGAUCGAAAGAUGAAAAGCACUUUGAAAAGAGAGUCAAACAGCACGUGAAAUUGUUGAAAGGGAAGCGCUGUCCAUCAGACUUGUUGAUCAGGAUCACCCAUCGUUCUCGGUGGGGCACUCUUGGUUGGGCAGGCCCGCAUCGGUUGGAGCGGUCGGAGAAAGACCAUGGGAAUGUAGCUCUUCGUGAGUGUUAUAGCCCGUGGUGUAAUACGGCCAGCUUCGACCGAGGUCUGCGCUUCGGCUCGGAUGCGGGCGUAAUGGUGGUCAGCGGCCCGUCUNGAAACACGGACCAAGGGCGA
Molecule: ribosomal RNA, 614 nt
Filed under: uncultured fungus
Lineage: Eukaryota; Fungi
Description: eukaryotic LSU rRNA
Rfam family: Eukaryotic large subunit ribosomal RNA
Source: RNAcentral